CUGAUGACCAUGGCAGUGAUGACUGGCUCCCAUCCGGAGUAGAGCAGUGUGCGGCUGGCUGGGUGCUUGGAGGAGAUGACGAUCCACAGGGGGGUCAGACAUAAGAAGAAGGCGCACACCAGCGACGACACAUACGGCAGAGAGGCUAUGAAAGCUGUGGCCACGCUGCUGGAGCAGAGGAGCACAGCAUGGCUCAUCUGGAACUUCCCCUCUGGGAUCCAACCGAGAACUACGGCUGCUACAGCAGCAAGGAAGCCCACCACAGUUGCCUGCACCUAGAGCAAAGAAAAGAGCAAAAUGUAUUAUUGUAACCCGAUUAGUAAAAUGUGGGCAAUGCCGUGUAUAAACACUGAACAUGUGCAGGUAUAUUUCAAUGAUUCGCAAUUGUUGAAUACAGUUGCUAACAGGCAGUAAUAACCACAGAGUAAGGAGUGUUGUGUGCGUGUCUCUUAUGAGUUUAUCAGUAUAUCUGAUGAUCAUUAGCAGAGGUUGUAGUGUCACAGAAGGUGAUAGCAAAAGUGGAUAGAUUAUCCAUUUCGUUAGCCAUCAUCAUUGGGGUUGCAGCACUUAACAGAGAGAGGAAUAUUUUGUUCAAGGACCAAAGGGUAACUAGAACAUUAUUUCUGAUUUCAUGGAAAUUGUGACAUUGGCUCCCCAUCUAAGUAUAUUGGUAUGACAAGGUCAACACCUUUGUAUUUUGUAUUUGUACUCACACCUCUUACGGACAGAAAUGCAGAAAAGUUCAAAUAUAUUCAAGUGCAAUUGCUCAUUUAAAAAUUGGAUUGUCUGACAUGAAAUAUGUCAGCCUAUUUGAGGCAAUACAUGUGUUUGUGAAUACCUGCUUGAGUGCCAGGUUGCCUAUGAUUAGAUUCCACUUCUCUAUUGGAGAAUCCAUCUUGCCAACGUUCACCUGUGCAGGGACAGAAUAAAAAUAAAGAAUACAGCGUUUUCCCUUA
Molecule: long non-coding RNA, 956 nt
Organism: Betta splendens (Siamese fighting fish)
Lineage: Eukaryota; Metazoa; Chordata; Actinopteri; Anabantiformes; Osphronemidae
Exons: 2
Source: RefSeq, a predicted model, not a curated record